Long non-coding RNA from Pantherophis guttatus, 872 nucleotides. RefSeq lists it as uncharacterized. Lineage: Eukaryota; Metazoa; Chordata; Lepidosauria; Squamata; Colubridae. The record is from RefSeq and is a predicted model, not a curated record.
GGGCAGGAACAGAGGCGGCUGCGGGUGCCGACCGGGCUCUUUGUGGGGAGCCGGGAUGGGAAGACGAGCUGGGCCCGGGUUUAGCCACAAGCGUUCUCUUCAACCAAAUUUCUUUUUUUUUCCUUUUGACAAUAUCCACCAAAUAGAAGAGGGGAAAUAAAUUUGGGAGCCACUCAGAAAAGGUAGGCAUUUGCAUGUGGCCAAGAAAACAGGCGAAGAAAUAAGGCAGACAAAAACUUAAUGGGCUUAACUCUGCAGCUUGGACUUUUCUUUUUAUAUUUUAACUGCCCUAUGAAAUUAAUGUCAAUUCCUUUCUCAUUAGCCAAGCCAUUGAGCUCACCUCUAACCUGCUCGAUCUGCAGUUUGGGCCUGUCACGUGGGCAGCAAUCAAUCGCCUUGAGUUUUUCAUUUCCUUCCCAAGAGAAGUAAACAGGAUGAGGGCCCCUCGUGAACACCUGCCGAACAGGAAGAUGGGGGAAAUGGUUCAACAUCCUCUUAAAGCAUCAAGGAGGCCAAACCAGGACACAGGUGCCUCUCAAUCUUGGCCCCUUGAAGAUAUGUGGGCUUCAAUUCCCAGAAUUCCUCAGCUGCCAACAGGUAGUCCUCGUUUAGCAAUGGCCUCAUUUAGCGACCGUUAAUGUUGCGACCAGUUCUCGCCACUUACGACCUCGGCAGGUCUGUAAAGCGAAGGAAAGCUGAAGGAAGAUUGUAAGGUGGUUUCACUUAGUGACUGCUUUGGUCGAUGGCAGAAUUGCCGCUCGCAGGUGCAGUCACUAAACGAAGACAGCCUGUAAAGAAAUGGCCAAGGAAAAGGCAGCCUUUUCUCCCAUCUAUGCCCGUAAUAAAUUCAUUAAAGUGCACUCCUUUAUCUA